GCCGUCUUAGCUCAGGGGUAGAGCGCGUGACUUUUAAUCACGUGGCCGUGGGUUCGAUCCCCACAGACGGCG
This 72-nucleotide transfer RNA is filed under the name Brassica carinata (Ethiopian mustard). It matches the Rfam family "tRNA". Rfam says of the family: Transfer RNA (tRNA) molecules are approximately 80 nucleotides in length. Lineage: Eukaryota; Viridiplantae; Streptophyta; Magnoliopsida; Brassicales; Brassicaceae. The record is from Rfam by way of RNAcentral. RNAcentral also lists the same sequence under 1 other name.